AGAGUUUGAUCAUGGCUCAGGACGAACGCUGGCGGCGUGCUUAACACAUGCAAGUCGAACGAAGAUACACAGAGGAAAUUUUCGGAUGGAAUCAGUGUAGACUGAGUGGCGGACGGGUGAGUAACGCGUGAGCAACCUGCCUACAAGAGGGGGACAACAGUUGGAAACGACUGCUAAUACCGCAUAAGACCACAGUUUCACAUGGAACAGGGGUCAAAGAUUUAUCGCUUGUAGAUGGGCUCGCGUCCCAUUAGCUAGUUGGUAGGGUAAAGGCCUACCAAGGCGACGAUGGGUAGCCGACCUGAGAGGGUGAUCGGCCACACUGGAACUGAGACACGGUCCAGACUCCUACGGGAGGCAGCAGUGGGGAAUAUUGGGCAAUGGGCGCAAGCCUGACCCAGCAACGCCGCGUGAGUGAAGAAGGUCUUCGGAUUGUAAAACUCUGUCCUUGGGGACGAAGUAAGUGACGGUACCCAAGGAGGAAGCUCCGGCUAACUACGUGCCAGCAGCCGCGGUAAUACGUAGGGAGCAAGCGUUGUCCGGAAUUACUGGGCGUAAAGGGUGCGUAGGCGGUUUGAUAAGUCAGAUGUGAAAUAUCCGGGCUUAACCUGGAGGGUGCAUUUGAAACUGUCAGACUUGAGUGCAGGAGAGGAAAGCGGAAUUCCUAGUGUAGCGGUGAAAUGCGUAGAUAUUAGGAGGAACACCAGUGGCGAAGGCGGCUUUCUGGACUGUAACUGACGCUGAGGCACGAAAGCGUGGGGAGCAAACAGGUUAGAUACUCUGGUAGUCCACGCCGUAAACGAUGGAUACUAGGUGUAGGGGCCGAUAGGCUUCUGUGCCGCAGCAAACGCAAUAAGUAUCCCGCCUGGGGAGUACGACCGCAAGGUUGAAACUCAAAGGAAUUGACGGGGCCCGCACAAGCAGCGGAGCAUGUGGUUUAAUUCGAAGCAACGCGAAGAACCUUACCAAGGCUUGACAUCCUCUGACGGAUGUAGAGAUACAUCUUCCCUUCGGGGCAGAGAGACAGGUGGUGCAUGGUUGUCGUCAGCUCGUGUCGUGAGAUGUUGGGUUAAGUCCCGCAACGAGCGCAACCCUUAUCAUUAGUUGCCAGCGAGUAGAGUCGGGAACUCUAAUGAGACUGCCGGGGACAACUCGGAGGAAGGUGGGGACGACGUCAAAUCAUCAUGCCCCUUAUGUCUUGGGCUACACACGUGCUACAAUGGCCGGUACAAAGGACAGCGAAACCGUAAGGUCAAGCGAAUCUCAAAAAGCCGGUCCCAGUUCGGAUUGUGGGCUGCAACCCGCCCACAUGAAGUUGGAGUUGCUAGUAAUCGCGAAUCAGCAUGUCGCGGUGAAUGCGUUCCCGGGCCUUGUACACACCGCCCGUCACACCACGGAAGUUGGGGGCGCCCGAAGCCAGUGGCCUAACCGCAAGGAAGGAGCUGUCGAAGGCGAAAUCAAUGACUGGGGUGAAGUCGUAACAAGGUA
RNAcentral lists this ribosomal RNA (1488 nucleotides) under metagenome. RNAcentral describes it as "bacterial SSU rRNA". It matches the Rfam family "Bacterial small subunit ribosomal RNA". The record is from RNAcentral.